AUUGAACGCUAGCGGCAUGCUUUACACAUGCAAGUCGAACGGCAGCGCGGGGCAACCUGGCGGCGAGUGGCGAACGGGUGAGUAAUACAUCGGAACGUGCCCUGUGAUGGGGGAUAACUACGCGAAAGCGUAGCUAAUACCGCAUACGACCUACGGGUGAAAGUGGGGGAUCGCAAGACCUCACGUCAUAGGAGCGGCCGAUGGCGGAUUAGCUAGUUGGUGAGGUAAAGGCUUACCAAGGCGACGAUCCGUAGCUGGUCUGAGAGGACGACCAGCCACACUGGGACUGAGACACGGCCCAG
RNAcentral lists this ribosomal RNA (302 nucleotides) under uncultured bacterium. RNAcentral describes it as "bacterial SSU rRNA". It matches the Rfam family "Bacterial small subunit ribosomal RNA", at positions 30 to 334 of the family's 1533-position model. The record is from RNAcentral. RNAcentral also lists the same sequence under 1 other name.